AGCAAUCGAAGCAGUGAACUUAAGCCCCAGUAAACGGCGGCCGUAACUAUAACGGUCCUAAGGUAGCGAAAUUCCUUGUCGGGUAAGUUCCGACCCGCACGAAAGGCGUAACGAUUUGGGCACUGUCCCAACAACAGACUCGGUGAAAUUGUAAUUCCGGUGACGAUGCCGGAUACCUGCGACCGGACGGAAAGACCCCAUGGAGCUUUACUGUAGCUUGACAUUGGGCCUUGGUACUACAUGUACAGGGUAGGUGGGAGGCUUUGAAACCAGGACGACAGUUUUGGCGGAGCCAUCCUUGGGAUACCACCCUUGUAGUACUGGGACUCUAACCAUAGGCCAUGAAUCUGGUCUUGGGACACUGUCAGGUGGGCAGUUUGACUGGGGCGGUCGCCUCCCAAAAGG
This 405-nucleotide ribosomal RNA is filed under the name Clostridioides difficile. RNAcentral's name for it is "bacterial LSU rRNA". It matches the Rfam family "Bacterial large subunit ribosomal RNA", at positions 1894 to 2297 of the family's 2925-position model. The record is from RNAcentral. Lineage: Bacteria; Bacillati; Bacillota; Clostridia; Peptostreptococcales; Peptostreptococcaceae.